Molecule: ribosomal RNA, 1538 nt
Filed under: Klebsiella pneumoniae
Lineage: Bacteria; Pseudomonadati; Pseudomonadota; Gammaproteobacteria; Enterobacterales; Enterobacteriaceae
Description: bacterial SSU rRNA
Rfam family: Bacterial small subunit ribosomal RNA
Source: RNAcentral
AAAUUGAAGAGUUUGAUCAUGGCUCAGAUUGAACGCUGGCGGCAGGCCUAACACAUGCAAGUCGAGCGGUAGCACAGAGAGCUUGCUCUCGGGUGACGAGCGGCGGACGGGUGAGUAAUGUCUGGGAAACUGCCUGAUGGAGGGGGAUAACUACUGGAAACGGUAGCUAAUACCGCAUAAUGUCGCAAGACCAAAGUGGGGGACCUUCGGGCCUCAUGCCAUCAGAUGUGCCCAGAUGGGAUUAGCUAGUAGGUGGGGUAACGGCUCACCUAGGCGACGAUCCCUAGCUGGUCUGAGAGGAUGACCAGCCACACUGGAACUGAGACACGGUCCAGACUCCUACGGGAGGCAGCAGUGGGGAAUAUUGCACAAUGGGCGCAAGCCUGAUGCAGCCAUGCCGCGUGUGUGAAGAAGGCCUUCGGGUUGUAAAGCACUUUCAGCGGGGAGGAAGGCGUAAGGUUAAUAACCUUGCGAUUGACGUUACCCGCAGAAGAAGCACCGGCUAACUCCGUGCCAGCAGCCGCGGUAAUACGGAGGGUGCAAGCGUUAAUCGGAAUUACUGGGCGUAAAGCGCACGCAGGCGGUCUGUCAAGUCGGAUGUGAAAUCCCCGGGCUCAACCUGGGAACUGCAUUCGAAACUGGCAGGCUAGAGUCUUGUAGAGGGGGGUAGAAUUCCAGGUGUAGCGGUGAAAUGCGUAGAGAUCUGGAGGAAUACCGGUGGCGAAGGCGGCCCCCUGGACAAAGACUGACGCUCAGGUGCGAAAGCGUGGGGAGCAAACAGGAUUAGAUACCCUGGUAGUCCACGCCGUAAACGAUGUCGAUUUGGAGGUUGUGCCCUUGAGGCGUGGCUUCCGGAGCUAACGCGUUAAAUCGACCGCCUGGGGAGUACGGCCGCAAGGUUAAAACUCAAAUGAAUUGACGGGGGCCCGCACAAGCGGUGGAGCAUGUGGUUUAAUUCGAUGCAACGCGAAGAACCUUACCUGGUCUUGACAUCCACAGAACUUAGCAGAGAUGCUUUGGUGCCUUCGGGAACUGUGAGACAGGUGCUGCAUGGCUGUCGUCAGCUCGUGUUGUGAAAUGUUGGGUUAAGUCCCGCAACGAGCGCAACCCUUAUCCUUUGUUGCCAGCGGUCCGGCCGGGAACUCAAAGGAGACUGCCAGUGAUAAACUGGAGGAAGGUGGGGAUGACGUCAAGUCAUCAUGGCCCUUACGACCAGGGCUACACACGUGCUACAAUGGCAUAUACAAAGAGAAGCGACCUCGCGAGAGCAAGCGGACCUCAUAAAGUAUGUCGUAGUCCGGAUUGGAGUCUGCAACUCGACUCCAUGAAGUCGGAAUCGCUAGUAAUCGUAGAUCAGAAUGCUACGGUGAAUACGUUCCCGGGCCUUGUACACACCGCCCGUCACACCAUGGGAGUGGGUUGCAAAAGAAGUAGGUAGCUUAACCUUCGGGAGGGCGCUUACCACUUUGUGAUUCAUGACUGGGGUGAAGUCGUAACAAGGUAACCGUAGGGGAACCUGCGGUUGGAUCACCUCCUUA